UCGGCUGCUGCUUCCACCCUGAAUGAACCCCCUGAUUUGGAGGCAACCCCUGGAGUCCAGUGACUUUCAGUCCAUCCCUUUCGACCACAAAGGGCCAGUCCCCUUUCACAGGGGCAGGUUCUGCCAACAGAACCCUUCCUGGGGGGUGUGUGGAGAUUCCUGCCUUGGCUGGGGACCCCCCAAGGUCACUGCUGGAGGUUGAGAGCAGAGAUCUCCCCCCGAGUGUUGGUCUGGGGGAGUUCCAUCCCUCUGUAACUAAGAAUUAUUGCUUUUGUGUCAGCUUUAGUAGAAUUGCUUCAACAAUUGCUUUAGUGUAGAGCACUGUCCUAUCUUAUCCUGUACUCCUGGUAGUUUUAGUGUUUCUACUGUGCAGUAAAUAAUUCUGAUGAAGAU
This is a long non-coding RNA of Corapipo altera (White-ruffed manakin), 393 nucleotides long. RefSeq lists it as uncharacterized. Lineage: Eukaryota; Metazoa; Chordata; Aves; Passeriformes; Pipridae. The transcript is spliced from 2 exons. The record is from RefSeq and is a predicted model, not a curated record.